RNAcentral lists this ribosomal RNA (497 nucleotides) under uncultured bacterium. RNAcentral's name for it is "partial 16S ribosomal RNA". It matches the Rfam family "Bacterial small subunit ribosomal RNA", at positions 28 to 507 of the family's 1533-position model. The record is from RNAcentral.
GAUGAACGCUGGCGGCGUGCCUAAUACAUGCAAGUCGAGCGAACGGACGAGAAGCUUGCUUCUCUGAUGUUAGCGGCGGACGGGUGAGUAACACGUGGAUAACCUACCUAUAAGACUGGGAUAACUUCGGGAAACCGGAGCUAAUACCGGAUGAUAUUUUGAACCGCAUGGUUCAAAAGUGAAAGACGGUCUUGCUGUCACUUAUAGAUGUAUCCCCGCUGCAUUAGCUAGUUGGUAAGGUAACGGCUUACCAAGGCAACGAUGCAUAGCCGACCUGAGAGGGUGAUCGGCCACACUGGAACUGCGACACGCUCCAGACUCCUAAGGGAGGCAGCAGUAGGGAUUCUUCCGCAAUGGGCGAAAGCCUGACGGAGCAACGCCGCGUGAUUGAUGAAGUUCUUCUGUUCCUAAAACUCUGUUAUUAGGGAAGAACAUAUGUGUAAGUAACUGUGCACAUCUUGACGGUACCUAAUCAGAAAGCCACGGCUAACUCCGUG